Felis catus (domestic cat) is the source of this 1616-nucleotide long non-coding RNA. RefSeq lists it as uncharacterized. Lineage: Eukaryota; Metazoa; Chordata; Mammalia; Carnivora; Felidae. The record is from RefSeq and is a predicted model, not a curated record. The transcript is spliced from 3 exons.
CCCCCCGCCCCGGAGUGGGAAAAGACACAUCCAGGCUGGGAGCUCUGGGCAUUGUCCUCAGAUGGGCACAGAGCUGGAUCUCUAAGGAUAGCACAUCUUCGGAGUUUCGGUUGCCUGAGGUCAGCGUGCCUGGUCUGAGAGCAGAUGACCCUCCUGACUGUCAUCGGAAAGUGAGUCGUAGCCUGACACUAUGUCACAAUGCCUACAAUGCCUAAAUGCCAUUCAUCUGGCUUAAUCUCACCGUGUAGGCAUUUUAUCAUCUCAUACCAUCACGGGAAGAAGGCUUCAUGACUUCCUGGCCACGCGGAGACCUUCAUCUGAGCCCGCGGAUCAUUUGUAGAAGUGAAUCUAGAAGAUGGAUCCAGAAGCAGGCCCCAAAGCCAUCUGUGGGGGCAGGACUGCAUUUCUGUGUGAUCUGUUGGGGCUUCCAAGAUCCUCGCUUUCUCGCCCAUGACCGGGGGAGAGGUGGGUCAGGUUUCUGGGCUAGACACUUCCCCACGCAGAAAGUCUGGUUUGGGCUAUGUGCUCUGGGAGGCUGACUCAGAGCGCCUACCUGCAGCCUCAGUGUCCCUCCUCUGCUCCAUCGUUAAGUGUCCAUUGGAUAUCCAGCUGAGCAAUCGAGACUCAAUGUACCUGAAGCCACAUCUGUCUCCUGACCCCUGGCCAGCUCCCUCUGGGCAUCCAGCUGUGCUGGCGAACAACUCCGGUUUCUUCCAAUCACGCCAGCUUGAAAUUGCUGAGUCGUGCCUCGCAUGUCCCUCUGUUUCAUUUCCCACAGCUAACCAGUUAUCAAAUCAUUUCAAGUUAGUCCCCCAGCCAAUCAGGCUGUUAUCAGCUCCUAUUUGGACUAUUGCCAGGGUCUCCCCUUUGUCCUCUCUGCCUCCAGCUACCCCCUCCUGACCAGCCAGUUCACCUUCCUAGAGUACUGCCAUGUGCUCAUUGCCCCCCUCGGCCACCCCCCACCCCUCUUUGUUGCUCCCUUCAGCCACAGCUCCCUCUCCUCUCUUCCACAGACUCUGCUCCAACCUUCCGGUCCCCUCUCAGUUCCCAGGACGCUGUGCACACUCCUGCAACCGUACCUUUGCUGGGAUGGUUUCCCUUGCCUGGAAUCCUUUUCCCCAUUCCAAAGUUUUACCUAAACCCUAGCCGUCUCUCACACCAUAUAACACUCCUGGUUUUGAAAACAUGCUGAGCAGGUGGGAGAAGAGGGGAGGAGGGAGCUAGAGUUGUUAGCAGUUUGCUAGAGGUAGAGAAUUUAGUUCACCUUUGGGGUAGCCUUUUCUUUGGGGAAAAGCAGCGUGAACCUGAAACCAUGUGGUCAUCAUCAGCCUGAAUGUUGUGGUUCAGCAAUGUAAAUAGCCAUCCCUAGGGAGAGAGGGAGCGCCUUUACAUUCCUUUUUCUCCUAAGGUUUGAGGGGAGGAAUUGUGGAGGAAGGGGAAGCCUAGACUGGUCCCUGUGUAGGUGACUUGGCUAUUUUCAGCUCAAGUUUAGAGAGUUAUUUGCGGGGCGCCUGGGUGGCGCAGUCGGCUAAGCGUCCGACUUCAGCCAGGUCACGAUCUCGCGGUCCGUGAGUUCGAGCCCCGCGUCGGGCUCUGGGCUGAUGGCUCAGAGCCUG